Pimephales promelas (fathead minnow) is the source of this 194-nucleotide non-coding RNA. NCBI's taxonomy places the organism in Eukaryota, Metazoa, Chordata, Actinopteri, Cypriniformes, Leuciscidae. The record is from RefSeq and is a predicted model, not a curated record.
ACUACAUCACUGAGUAGGCGUGAACCAAAACUGCAUUUUAAAGUGUUCUCGUGACAUCUACAGCGAGCCAGACAGUUAGGAAGAACGAGUCCAACAUGGAAUUAAUUGAUUUCAAAGCCACAAUCUUCAGCUCCGGUGUGGGAACAUUUUGCCUUUAAGCCGAACGAGAGAGGAGAGAUAAACGUGAACGAGCG